CACACGGAAAUGUGGGUGGACGAUGUGAC
This 29-nucleotide non-coding RNA is filed under the name Rattus norvegicus (Norway rat). Lineage: Eukaryota; Metazoa; Chordata; Mammalia; Rodentia; Muridae. The record is from RNAcentral.